Molecule: transfer RNA, 55 nt
Filed under: Candidatus Daviesbacteria bacterium RIFCSPLOWO2_02_FULL_36_8
Lineage: Bacteria; Candidatus Daviesiibacteriota
Description: tRNA-Lys
Rfam family: tRNA
About the family: Transfer RNA (tRNA) molecules are approximately 80 nucleotides in length. Their secondary structure includes four short double-helical elements and three loops (D, anti-codon, and T loops).
Source: RNAcentral
GGGCCGGUAGCUCAGCGGUAGAGCAGGAGACUUUUAAUCUCUUGGUCCUGGGUUC